This 497-nucleotide ribosomal RNA is filed under the name uncultured bacterium. Its description in RNAcentral is "partial 16S ribosomal RNA". It matches the Rfam family "Bacterial small subunit ribosomal RNA", at positions 28 to 507 of the family's 1533-position model. The record is from RNAcentral.
GAUGAACGCUGGCGGCGUGCCUAAUACAUGCAAGUCGAGCGAACGGACGAGAAGCUUGCUUCUCUGAUGUUAGCGGCGGACGGGUGAGUAACACGUGGAUAACCUACCUAUAAGACUGGGAUAACUUCGGGAAACCGGAGCUAAUACCGGAUGAUAUUUUGAACCGCAUGGUUCAAAAGUGAAAGACGGUCUUGCUGUCACUUAUAGAAGGAUCCGCGCUGCAUUAGCUAGUUGGUAAGGUAACGGCUUACCAAGGCAACGAUGCAUAGCCGACCUGAGAGGGUGAUCGGCCACACUGGAACUGAGACACGGUCCAGACUCCUACGGGAGGCAGCAGUAGGGAAUCUUCCGCAAAGGGCGAAAGCCUGACGGAGCAACGCCGCGUGAGUGAUGAAGGUCUUCGGAUCGUAAAACUCUGUUAUUAGGGAAGAACAUAUGUGUAAGUAACUGUGCACAUCUUGACAGUACCUAAUCAGAAAGCCACGGCUAACUACGUG